GUGCUUGUUUCAGCAGCACAUAUACUAAAAUUGGAAUGAUACAGAGAAGAUAAGUGUGGCUCCUGCACAAGGAUGACAUGCAAAUUCAUGAAGCAUUCCAUAUUUAA
This is a small nuclear RNA of Eptesicus fuscus (big brown bat), 107 nucleotides long. The record is from RefSeq and is a predicted model, not a curated record. NCBI's taxonomy places the organism in Eukaryota, Metazoa, Chordata, Mammalia, Chiroptera, Vespertilionidae.